Maniola jurtina (meadow brown) is the source of this 317-nucleotide long non-coding RNA. RefSeq lists it as uncharacterized. NCBI's taxonomy places the organism in Eukaryota, Metazoa, Arthropoda, Insecta, Lepidoptera, Nymphalidae. The transcript has 2 exons. The record is from RefSeq and is a predicted model, not a curated record.
GUGAGACCGUACUCCCCUGUGACGAUGGCCUCUUAGGUGGUGUGAGGCGCGGAGUAUUGGUCAGCGAGUUUUAACCACAAACGUGGCUUUAAAGUCCAAACUCUGCUCCUGAAAUUGAUAACCAAGGUGGGUUAUCAACUGGUGUAUCAAUCUCCGUUUUGGAAUCGAACCCGGGCCUCGUCGAACACAAGGUAGGUACUUCGACGUGGUAGAAUUGCCGGUGUUAAGAAACCAGAACGGAGUUUACAAUUAAGUAGGCUAAAUAAAUGGCAGAAGGCCCAAAAUAUUAAAAGAACGAAAUUGUUAACAAAAAAAUA